AGUGUUGGGGCUCAGUGGUAGAGCACCUGCUUAGCAUGUGGGAGGCUCUGGGUUUGAUCCUCAGCACCGCCU
RNAcentral lists this transfer RNA (72 nucleotides) under Ictidomys tridecemlineatus (thirteen-lined ground squirrel). RNAcentral's name for it is "Spermophilus tridecemlineatus (thirteen-lined ground squirrel) tRNA". It matches the Rfam family "tRNA". From Rfam's summary of the family: Transfer RNA (tRNA) molecules are approximately 80 nucleotides in length. Their secondary structure includes four short double-helical elements and three loops (D, anti-codon, and T loops). Further hydrogen bonds mediate the characteristic L-shaped molecular structure. tRNAs have two regions of fundamental functional importance: the anti-codon, which is responsible for specific mRNA codon recognition, and the 3' end, to which the tRNAs corresponding amino acid is attached (by aminoacyl-tRNA synthetases). tRNAs cope with the degeneracy of the genetic code in two manners: having more than one tRNA (with a specific anti-codon) for a particular amino acid; and 'wobble' base-pairing, i.e. permitting non-standard base-pairing at the 3rd anti-codon position. Lineage: Eukaryota; Metazoa; Chordata; Mammalia; Rodentia; Sciuridae. The record is from Rfam by way of RNAcentral.